CUGCGACCGUCUGGCGCCAGCGCACUGCAGGUGGGGAGCGGGCGUUGGAAGUUGCUGGAAGUUGGAGGCAGGGGAGCGGUCACUCGCGGCGAGCGCUGGCGGCGGCCAGGGCGCAAAGUUGAGAGCAGUCGCUAGUCUGAGCCUUUCAGUCGCCCUCCAGUAUCAUCAGUACCACGGACUUCACCAUGGACUUACCGCUUGCUGCGGCCCCUCAGCAACCCAGUGCACCUGCCACUCCACCAGAAGAGCCAUGUGACCGGAUCCCCAGUUUGGCAGAGGAGACAUGUGAGAGGACGGAACGUUUUGGCCGAAAAGACAUCUGGCAGGGAAUAGAGAGAACAGCUGUGGCAGAGAGAACGUCUGAGAAGCUUGCACGAUUCGCAGAAGGAGCAUCGGUAGAAGAUUGCCUGUUUGCCCAAAGGAACAUCAAGUUCCAAAGGAAUGUUUCUGGCGGCUUACAAGGACUAUCUCCAACGUGCUUGGUCUCGCUUAACUUUCCCAGGAUCCUGAAUCGGGCAUCUACUGUUCGUCCUUACUGCUCUGGGAUGUCUCGGUCUUACCAUGUCCCUGCCAACCCUGGUCCCAUCUUGUCACGAUCACCCACUGAAGAGAGGAGGUGCUGGAGUGAACGUGGUUGGGGGAGCCUCGUUCAUCCCCAGGGUCCCAGAAUGAACCAGUGUUACUAUGUACCCCUGGUCUUGCCUUCCUCCCUGCUCUAA
Molecule: long non-coding RNA, 719 nt
Filed under: Cercocebus atys (sooty mangabey)
Lineage: Eukaryota; Metazoa; Chordata; Mammalia; Primates; Cercopithecidae
Description: lncRNA (ENSCATG00000045869.1)
Source: RNAcentral